RNAcentral lists this ribosomal RNA (293 nucleotides) under uncultured bacterium. RNAcentral describes it as "partial 16S ribosomal RNA". It matches the Rfam family "Bacterial small subunit ribosomal RNA", at positions 505 to 796 of the family's 1533-position model. The record is from RNAcentral.
GUGUCAGCAGCCGCGGUAAAACGUAGGAGGCGAGCGUUAUCCGGAUUUACUGGGCGUAAAGCGCGUGUAGGCGGUUUCGUAAGUCGUGCGUGAAAGCUCCCUGGCUUAACCGGGAGAGGUCGUGCGAUACUGUGAAACUGGAGUCAGACAGAGGCAAGUAGAAUUCCGGGUGUAGUGGUGAAAUGCGUAGAUAUCCGGAGGAAUACCAGUGGCGAAAGCGACUUGCUGGGUCUGUACUGACGCUCAGACGCGAAAGCAUGGGGAGCGAACGGGAUUAGAAACCCGGGUAGUCC